AUUAGUGGCGAACGGGUGAGUAACACGUGGGCAAUCUGCCCUGCACUCUGGGACAAGCCCUGGAAACGGGGUCUAAUACCGGAUACGAGCCUCCNGGGCAUCUGGGAGGUUGGAAAGCUCCGGCGGUGCAGGAUGAGCCCGCGGCCUAUCAGCUUGUUGGUGAGGUAACGGCUCACCAAGGCGACGACGGGUAGCCGGNCUGAGAGGGCGACCGGCCACACUGGGACUGAGACACGGNCCAGACUCCUACGGGAGGCAGCAGUGGGGAAUAUUGCACAAUGGGCGCAAGCCUGAUGCAGCGACGCCGCGUGAGGGAUGACGGCCUUCGGGUUGUAAACCUCUUUCAGCAGGGAAGAAGCGAGAGUGACGGUACCUGCAGAAGAAGCGCCGGCUAACUACGUGCCAGCAGCCGCGGUAAUACGUAGGGCGCAAGCGUUGUCCGGAAUUAUUGGGCGUAAAGAGCUCGUAGGCGGCUUGUCGCGUCGAUUGUGAAAGCCCGGGGCUUAACUCCGGGUCUGCAGUCGAUACGGGCAGGCUAGAGUGUGGUAGGGGAGAUCGGAAUUCCUGGUGUAGCGGUGAAAUGCGCAGAUAUCAGGAGGAACACCGGUGGCGAAGGCGGAUCUCUGGGCCAUUACUGACGCUGAGGAGCGAAAGCGUGGGGAGCGAACAGGAUUAGAUACCCUGGUAGUCCACGCCGUAAACGGUGGGCACUAGGUGUUGGCGACAUUCCACGUCGUCGGUGCCGCAGCUAACGCAUUAAGUGCCCCGCCUGGGGAGUACGGCCGCAAGGCUAAAACUCAAAGGAAUUGACGGGGGCCCGCACAAGCGGCGGAGCAUGUGGCUUAAUUCGACGCAACGCGAAGAACCUUACCAAGGCUUGACAUACACCGGAAACAUCCAGAGAUGGGUGCCCCCUUGUGGUCGGUGUACAGGUGGUGCAUGGCUGUCGUCAGCU
Molecule: ribosomal RNA, 955 nt
Filed under: bacterium MVI.15
Lineage: Bacteria
Description: bacterial SSU rRNA
Rfam family: Bacterial small subunit ribosomal RNA
Source: RNAcentral